UUUAGGAAACAGAUGUACUAAUAACCGAAAUAAACUUCGUAUCGCAUGAUACAAGGUUAAAGGCGCUACGGCGUCACCUAGAGAUGGAUCCGCGGUGCAUUAGUUAGUUGGUGGGUAAAGGCCUACCAAGACAAUGAUGCAUAGCCGAGUUGAGAGACUGAUCGGCCACAUUGGGACUGAGACACGGCCCAAACUCCUACGGGAGGCUGCAGUAGGGAAUCUUCCACAAUGGGCGAAAGCCUGAUGGAGCAACGCCGCGUGUGUGAUGAAGGCUUUCGGGUCGUAAAGCACUGUUGUAUGGGAAGAACAGCUAGAGUAGGGAAUGACUUUAGUUUGACGGUACCAUACCAGAAAGGGACGGCUAAAUACGUG
RNAcentral lists this ribosomal RNA (372 nucleotides) under uncultured bacterium. RNAcentral's name for it is "bacterial SSU rRNA". It matches the Rfam family "Bacterial small subunit ribosomal RNA", at positions 148 to 507 of the family's 1533-position model. The record is from RNAcentral.